Molecule: ribosomal RNA, 305 nt
Filed under: uncultured bacterium
Lineage: Bacteria
Description: bacterial SSU rRNA
Rfam family: Bacterial small subunit ribosomal RNA
Source: RNAcentral
UCCUACGGGGGGCAGCAGUGAGGAAUAUUGGUCAAUGGGCGCGAGCCUGAACCAGCCAAGUAGCGUGAAGGAUGACGGCCCUAUGGGUUGUAAACUUCUUUUAUAUGGGAAUAAAGUUUGGUAUGCAUACCAUUUUGUAUGUACCAUAUGAAUAAGGAUCGGCUAACUCCGUGCCAGCAGCCGCGGUAAUACGGAGGAUCCGAGCGUUAUCCGGAUUUAUUGGGUUUAAAGGGAGCGUAGGUGGAUUGUUAAGUCAGUUGUGAAAGUUUACGGCUCAACCGUAAAAUUGCAGUUGAAACUGGCAG